GAUGAACGCUGGCGGCGUGCCUAAUACAUGCAAGUCGAGCGAACGGACGAGAAGCUUGCUUCUCUGAUGUUAGCGGCGGACGGGUGAGUAACACGUGGAUAACCUACCUAUAAUACUGGGAUAACUUCGGGAAACCGGAGCUAAUACCGGAUAAUCUUUUGAACCGCAUGGUUCAAUAGUGAAAGACGGUCUUGCUGUCACUUAUAGCUGGAUCCCGGCUGCAUUAGCUAGUUGGUAAGGUAACGGCUUACCAAGGCAACGAUGCAUAGCCGACCUGAGAGGGUGAUCGGCCACACUGGAACGGAGACACGGUCCAGACUCCUACGGGAGGCAGCAGUAGGGAAUCUGCCGCAAUGGGCGAAAGCCUGACGGAGCAACGCCGCGUGAGUGAUGAAGGUCUUCGGAUCGUAAAACUCUGUUAUUAGGGAAGAACAUAUGUGUAAGUAACUGUGCACAUCUUGACGGUACCUAAUCAGAAAGCCACGGCUAACUACGUG
Molecule: ribosomal RNA, 497 nt
Filed under: uncultured bacterium
Lineage: Bacteria
Description: partial 16S ribosomal RNA
Rfam family: Bacterial small subunit ribosomal RNA
Source: RNAcentral